UUCCCCCGCGGUAAUUCCAGCUCCAAUAGCGUAUAUUAAAGUUGUUGCAGUUAAAAAGCUCGUAGUUGAAUUUCGGGAUCAAUCUAUCGGUCGUGCAAUAGUACGUACUGAUUUUAUUGAUUCCUCCCUUCUGAUGAACUAUGAUGUCAUUAAUUUGGUGUCAUAGGGAAUCAGGACUGUUACUUUGAAAAAAUUAGAGUGUUUAAAGCAGGCUCACGCUUGAAUACAUUAGCAUGGAAUAAUAAAAUAGGACGGUGGUCCUGUUUUGUUGGUUUCUGAAUCACCGUAAUGAUUAAUAGGGAUAGUUGGGGGCAUUAGUAUUCAAUUGUCAGAGGUGAAAUUCUUGGAUUUAU
This 353-nucleotide ribosomal RNA is filed under the name uncultured Glomus. RNAcentral describes it as "bacterial SSU rRNA". It matches the Rfam family "Eukaryotic small subunit ribosomal RNA", at positions 569 to 929 of the family's 1831-position model. The record is from RNAcentral. Lineage: Eukaryota; Fungi; Glomeromycota; Glomeromycetes; Glomerales; Glomeraceae.